Molecule: long non-coding RNA, 1146 nt
Filed under: Hordeum vulgare
Lineage: Eukaryota; Viridiplantae; Streptophyta; Magnoliopsida; Poales; Poaceae
Description: long non-coding RNA (HVUL_LNC006160)
Source: RNAcentral
GUACAAAGUUGUACCUAUUUGUAUGCAUGAAUUUUCUCAUGUUGUUUUCGAAAACUAUACACCAUUCUGUAAAUGACUUUGGGCUAAAGUGUUGUAGAAUAUAUAGUAAAAGUUGUCACAGGUAUGUUUUAAAAAUGUGAAUACUUUUACCCAUAAUAUGAACUCAUCGAGGGAAGCUCUCAAGGAAUUUUUUAUACCUGUAAUUUAGAUAAAUUGAUAUAAUAUAAAAUAUGUCAAAAAUGUUGAAAUUAACAAUUUUUUGUAAGUAAAUUCUCCAUAUUGACCAGUGUGAUUGGAUUAACUUAUGAUUCCCUUCCCUUCCCUCCGCUCCUCUCGCCCACCAAUCCUCAAAGCCAUGGUCAGCUGUGUAGGCGUCAACGCCUGCUAAACCACCAAGCCCUUCCUUCAUUUCCCCCAUGACCAGUUUGUUCUAACGGUUUAUUGUCUCUUCUUUGCUUGUGACCAUGUGGAAUGCUGCUGCGCCACCAAGCUUGCCAUCUUCUUCAUCCUCGCCAUGUGCAGCUCCGGGCCUGACUGUUUUCUGAACAGUAUUGUGUUCUAGCAUCUUCCUUGAAGACACGUCAUGGUGGGCAGAAAAGGUUCAGCAGUUUUUUUAUCGAUUUUGUUCUGAAUAUUUCUAUAACAGGUUUUUCUUUCCUGAAUGUCUCCUAUGCAACUUUGUUCUCAAUACAAGUUUGCAUGGGAAGCUGCGUCGCUAAUGCAGGGCGUUUAUAUUGUUAUCUUUCUUUAAAUAAGUGUCCUUGCGUUGGAGAGGUGUUGGCCUUCAUCUCUGGCCAGCCUGGCUUGUUUUUUGGAUAUGCAUGAUCAAUUAUCCCUGCACUUACACGAGUAUGCAUGAGUUUUAUUUUCACAUAAAGGAGUAUGCAUGCAUGAGCUGAAAAGCUCCUCCAGGCAAUAGCACAAAAGAAUCAUUUCCUGCUGGUGCUAGCACAAAUUAAACAGUAAAGAAAAGUCACAAAGCACCUAAAGAGUAGUACCUUGGCCGAUGCCAGCUCCUUCAUAUAUUCUACCGAUAUGGACGCUGGAAGUAUAUAUAUAUAUAUAUAUGUAUGUAUGUAUCUUCAGCUACCUGCGCCAAUCUCCUGCUAUCAAUAGCAUAUAUAUAAGAUAAGAGUUAGAUGAGUA